CUUGUCCCACUGAGUCACUGUGGAAGCCCAUCUUCUUCUUUACUUCUCCCACUGAAAGAUUCACCGUGUUCUGCAUCUCGCCUCUCGCCUCUUGCCUCCCACAUCGACGCAUGCCAACAACAAAGCAAGUGAUGACCGUGCAUGUAAGUUCUUCAAAUGGUUGGACACCAACACUUGCACGUGUGGUGCAGCCACAGCACCUAUUGUGUUAGCAAAAUUCCGAAGAUUGGAGCACGAGGUGGAA
Long non-coding RNA from Quercus robur (English oak), 244 nucleotides. RefSeq lists it as uncharacterized. The transcript is spliced from 2 exons. NCBI's taxonomy places the organism in Eukaryota, Viridiplantae, Streptophyta, Magnoliopsida, Fagales, Fagaceae. The record is from RefSeq and is a predicted model, not a curated record.